GGAGUUAGCCGGUGCUUCUUCUGUGAGUGAUGUCCUUCCUGCCGGUUAUUGACCCGCAGGCCUUCUUCCUCACUGAAAGUGCUUUACAACCCGAAGGCCUUCUUCACACACGCGGCAUGGCUGGAUCAGGGUUGCCCCCAUUGUCCAAUAUUCCCCACUGCUGCCUCCCGUAGGAGUCUGGGCCGUGUCUCAGUCCCAGUGUGGCUGAUCAUCCUCUCAGACCAGCUACGGAUCGUCGCCUUGGUGAGCCGUUACCUCACCAACCAGCUAAUCCGACAUAGGCUCAUCCGAUAGCGCGAGGCCCGAAGGUCCCCCGCUUUCCCCCGUAGGGCGUAUGCGGUAUUAGCCUGGGUUUCCCCAGGUUAUCCCCCGACUACCGGGCAGAUUCCUAUGCAUUACUCACCCGUCCGCCGCUCGCCACCAGGGAGCAAGCUCCCCGUGCUGCCGCUCGACUUGCAUGUGUUAGGCCUGCCGCCAGCGUUCAUCUGACCAGAUCAAAUUCUGA
This 505-nucleotide ribosomal RNA is filed under the name uncultured bacterium. RNAcentral's name for it is "partial 16S ribosomal RNA". The record is from RNAcentral.